ACACCCGUUCCCAUGCCGAACACGGAAGUUAAGCCCUCCAGCGCCGAUGGUACUUGGGGCGAGAGCCCCCGGGAGAGUAGGACGUUGCCAGGC
This 93-nucleotide ribosomal RNA is filed under the name Caldalkalibacillus uzonensis. Lineage: Bacteria; Bacillati; Bacillota; Bacilli; Caryophanales; Bacillaceae. The record is from RNAcentral.